RNAcentral lists this ribosomal RNA (808 nucleotides) under uncultured organism. Its description in RNAcentral is "SSU rRNA". It matches the Rfam family "Bacterial small subunit ribosomal RNA", at positions 31 to 838 of the family's 1533-position model. The record is from RNAcentral.
GAACGCUGGCGGCGUGCUUAACACAUGCAAGUCGAACGGAGAUGUGUGCUGAAGAAGCUUCGGCAGAUUCUUACGCAUCUUAGUGGCGGACGGGUGAGUAACGCGUGGGUAACCUGCCUUAUACAGGGGGAUAACACUUAGAAAUAGGUGCUAAUACCGCAUAAGCGCACAGGACCGCAUGGUCUGGUGUGAAAAGCUCCGGCGGUAUAAGAUGGACCCGCGUCUGAUUAGCUGGUUGGUGGGGUAGAGGCCCACCAAGGCGACGAUCAGUAGCCGGCCUGAGAGGGCGACCGGCCACAUUGGGACUGAGACACGGCCCAAACUCCUACGGGAGGCAGCAGUGGGGAAUAUUGCACAAUGGGGGAAACCCUGAUGCAGCGACGCCGCGUGAGUGAAGAAGUAUUUCGGUAUGUAAAGCUCUAUCAGCAGGGAAGAAAAUGACGGUACCUGACUAAGAAGCCCCGGCUAACUACGUGCCAGCAGCCGCGGUAAUACGUAGGGGGCAAGCGUUAUCCGGAUUUACUGGGUGUAAAGGGAGCGUAGACGGCAUGGCAAGUCUGGAGUGAAAGACCGGGGCUCAACCCCGGGCCUGCUUUGGAAACUGUCAGGCUGGAGUGCAGGAGAGGUAAGUGGAAUUCCUAGUGUAGCGGUGAAAUGCGUAGAUAUUAGGAGGAACACCAGUGGCGAAGGCGGCUUACUGGACUGUAACUGACGUUGAGGCUCGAAAGCGUGGGGAGCAAACAGGAUUAGAUACCCUGGUAGUCCACGCCGUACACGAUGAUCACUAGGUGUCGGGGAGUAAAGACUC